RNAcentral lists this ribosomal RNA (425 nucleotides) under uncultured bacterium. RNAcentral describes it as "partial 16S ribosomal RNA". It matches the Rfam family "Bacterial small subunit ribosomal RNA", at positions 354 to 796 of the family's 1533-position model. The record is from RNAcentral.
GUAGGGAAUAUUGGACAAUGGGCGCAAGCCUGAUCCAGCCAUGCCGCGUGAGUGAUGAAGGCCUUAGGGUUGUAAAGCUCUUUCAGUGGGGACGAUAAUGACGGUACCCACAGAAGAAGCCCCGGCUAACUUCGUGCCAGCAGCCGCGGUAAUACGAAGGGGGCUAGCGUUGUUCGGAUUUACUGGGCGUAAAGCGCACGUAGGCGGAUCGUUAAGUCGGGGGUGAAAUCCUGGAGCUCAACUCCAGAACUGCCUUCGAUACUGGCGAUCUUGAGUCCGGAAGAGGUGAGUGGAACUCCUAGUGUAGAGGUGGAAUUCGUAGAUAUUAGGAAGAACACCAGUGGCGAAGGCGGCUCACUGGUCCGGUACUGACGCUGAGGUGCGAAAGCGUGGGGAGCAAACAGGAUUAGAAACCCUGGUAGUCC